This 446-nucleotide ribosomal RNA is filed under the name uncultured Planctomycetota bacterium. RNAcentral describes it as "bacterial SSU rRNA". It matches the Rfam family "Bacterial small subunit ribosomal RNA", at positions 217 to 656 of the family's 1533-position model. The record is from RNAcentral. Lineage: Bacteria; Pseudomonadati; Planctomycetota.
GCUUAGAGAGGGGUCAAUGUCCUAUCAGCUAGUUGGUAGGGUAACGGCCUACCAAGGCGAAGACGGGUAGCCGGCCUGAGAGGGUGGUCGGCCACACUGGGACUGAGACACUGCCCAGACUCCUACGGGAGGCUGCAGUCGAGAAUCUUUCGCAAUGCCCGAAAGGGUGACGAAGCGACGCCGCGUGGGAAGAAGGCCUUCGGGUUGUAAACCACUGUCGGGAGUUAGGAAAUGUAAGGGUGCUAAUAGUAUCCUUACUUGACUAAGGCUCCGGAGGAAACCACGGCUAACUCUGUGCCAGCAGCCGCGGUAAUACAGAGGCGGCAAGCGUUGUUCGGAAUUAUUGGGCGUAAAGAGCACGUAGGCGGCUUUGUAAGUCAGUUGUGAAAGCCUUCUGCUUAACGGAAGAACAGCAUCUGAUACUGCAAGGCUAGAGUGCGGAAGGG